RNAcentral lists this ribosomal RNA (464 nucleotides) under uncultured bacterium. RNAcentral describes it as "partial 16S ribosomal RNA". It matches the Rfam family "Bacterial small subunit ribosomal RNA", at positions 338 to 794 of the family's 1533-position model. The record is from RNAcentral.
CCUACGGGAGGCAGCAGUGGGGAAUUUUGCGCAAUGGGGGCAACCCUGACGCGGCAACGCCGCGUGAGUGAUGAAGGCCUUCGGGUCGUAAAGCUCUGUCAGAGGGGAAGAAAUGCAGGUGGUGAACAACCAUUCUGUUUGACGGUACCCUCAAAGGAAGCACCGGCUAACUCCGUGCCAGCAGCCGCGGUAAUACGUAGGGGGCGAGCGUUGUCCGGAUUUACUGGGUGUAAAGGGUGCUCAGGCGGGUCUGUAAGUCAGGGGAAAAAUCCCAGAGCUUAACUCUGGAACUGCCUUUGAUACUGCAGAUCUCGAGUUUGGGAGAGGCGAGUGGAAUAUCUGGUGUAGCAGUAAAAUGCGUAGAUAUCAGAUAGAACACCAAUGGCGAAGGCAGCUCGCUGGCCCAAUACUGACGCUAAAGCACGAAAGCGGGGGGAGCAAACAGGAUUAGAUACCCGGGUAGU